CCUACGGGAGGCAGCAGUAGGGAAUUUUGCGCAAUGGGCGCAAGCCUGAAGCAGCAACGCCGCGUGAUCGAGACGCCCUUCGGGGUGUAAAAAUCUUUCAGUGGGGACGAAACUUGACGGUACCCACCGACGAAUCACCGGCUAACUCCGUGCCAGCAGCCGCGGUAAUACGGGGGGGGCAAGCGUUGUCCGGAGUCAUUGGGCGUAAAGCGUUCGUAGGCGGCAUGUAAGGUCUGGUGGUAAAGGAAGAGGCUCAACUUCGGUACGGCACUGGAAACUUGCGAGCUAGAGUGAGGUAGAGGUAAAGGGAAUUCGUGGUGUAGCGGUGAAAUGCUUAGAUAUCAGGAGGAACAUCGGUGGCGUAGGCAGUUUACUGGGCCGUAAUUGACGCUGAGGAACGAAAGCGAGGGUAGCAAAUGGGAUUAGAUACCCUUGUAGUC
RNAcentral lists this ribosomal RNA (440 nucleotides) under uncultured bacterium. Its description in RNAcentral is "partial 16S ribosomal RNA". It matches the Rfam family "Bacterial small subunit ribosomal RNA", at positions 338 to 795 of the family's 1533-position model. The record is from RNAcentral.